CCCCAGAGCACAGAGGCGCCGAGAUUCAUUCCCGAGGAAGGGACAUUCCGGUAGAGGCUGCCAAAUAUAUCAGUCUCUGAGCUAUGAUUUUCCUUGAAUGUAUACACCGCAUAGUCAUCUAGAGAGCUCUACUAGAUUUCUACAGCAACGAUCAGCAGAAAGUCUACACGCCACUCUGGAAACACGAGCAUCCAGGGCGCCAGGACCGGAUGGACCCACCCUGGGUCACAGGGAUGGAAGAGACAGGUGUUCUUCUGGUCCACCGCGGGGAACGAGUGGGUUUGAAUUCUCCAUGCCUGCCUUGAACCUGUCGCGACAACUUUUAACCUGCCGGAUGGGAAUGUCCUCGUCAGUUGAGUCCUUCAGAGGCUGUGCACUGCGGUUUCCUCUCCCCCCACCCCGCGUUGGAGGACAGCAGGAGGGAGAAGGAAAUUCUGUUUGUGUCAUGUCAGCAAGAGCUUGAACUUCAUUUAUCAUCACAGCACACAGUAGCCGAUUGUGACGAACACAUUAUCUUACCAUCGUUGGCAGGGUUGUGCGUGAUUUUUCUUUUCCAUGCCCCGUUCUCUUCCCCCGUGCAGUUUGGACUGUUUUUGGUCUUUCCCAGUUAUUUCAUGCUGAGUGUCUAUAGGUCAGGGGAGAAGGUGGGUGCCAGAGAUUUCCAGAACAUCUUGGAAACCCAACAUGGAUUGAAAUAUGGCAUUGUCCUACCCAAUACUUUUGUCUUUAUUUGUAUGUGCUUUAGUGUCUGAAGACCAACACAUCUGCAAAGGGACUUACUUCUCCUUUUCCUUGCAAAUACACAGAUGCCCAUAACCUCUCUCUAUUUCUUUAUUUCUUUUUUUUUUUUUUGUUGAAUCACUGUGAGAUAGUUACAAGCUUUCAAGUUUGGGUUACAAUCUCACAAUGAUCAAACAGCCAUCCCUCCACCCAUACACAUUCCCCACCACCAAUAUCCCCGGUAUAACCCCCCUUUCCCACCCUCCCCCUGCCUCCAUGGCAGACAAUAUUCCCCACACUCUCUCUACUUUUGGGCAU
Long non-coding RNA from Sorex araneus (European shrew), 1038 nucleotides. RefSeq lists it as uncharacterized. The record is from RefSeq and is a predicted model, not a curated record. Lineage: Eukaryota; Metazoa; Chordata; Mammalia; Eulipotyphla; Soricidae. The transcript is spliced from 3 exons.